UCUCUCUCUCUCUCUCUCUCUCUCUCUCUCUGUGGUCUCGUCCAUAUAUAGAGAUCAUAGAUCUCAGCCAUUUACUCACCUUCUUUGUUUUUCUGUGCAAAACAGUAUGCUUUUUUCUCCUUUGUUUCUUGCUCAUUUUUAUUGCUUGUACUUAUUUGUUUUCUCCCCAAUCAAUAUGUAUAUAUAAACCGCUUUACCUCUAUCGGGUUCUUGCUUUUUUUGUCCGUCUGAUAUAUCAAUUUUGUUUGUUGAUUUACCUUUUCUUUGUGGGCUUAAUCGCUGAAAUCUGGCAUGGAGAGAUAUGUUGCAGACCGGGGCUUUCUUUUCCUGUGCCGGAAUCUGACUCGGCUUCCCUUUCGAACUGUUUCUGUUGCCGGAAUCUAAUCGGAGAAAUCUGACCCAGAUAUGAUUUCGAAAGUGUCAAGUCAAUUCGAUACAGAUGGUUUCAGUCUCCAGUUUCUGUGACUUCAUAAAUAGUAGUGAAUUAUAAUUUCUUUCUUUGGGGUACAGAAAACUUAUGAAUAGGGUUUUGUUUUGUUUUGUUUCAAUAGGUCUUUACUCGAUAGUUGAAAGUUUUGUUCCUAUAGUCGUGUUGGACACGGUAGAUUCUUCUUGGUGGUACCCCUCACGUACUACUUUAUGUUUCAACCACUCAUAAUCGAACAAGUCAUCUUUUCUUGUGGCGUCGGGCUAAGUCGUACAUGAAAUGUCAUAUUUUUUCCAUUCUUCAUUUUUAUUUCCUUCUUUUUGUCUUUCCUUUUCUUGACGAGGGUCUCCCAAUGGAAAUGUUCGGAUGUACUUCUGCUACCUUUCUUGAUAUAAUAUUUAGUGCACAUAUUCGGUAAAAUCAGGCGUUGUGCAUGGACGAUAUAUAGAUUGACAGUCAGUUGUUUGCGGGUGUAGCAUCAUCAAGAUUCACAUGCAAAUGCACAGAGGUUGAUUGCAAAAUCUGCACUCUGCCACAGUUCUUUUGAAAGUGAGAAUCUUGAUGAUGCUGCAUCGGCAAUAAACGACUACACAAAUUAAAGAGGAUGAUCUCUUGCACUAUUCAAUACUGCCUCUUUUGCACUUGAACCCAGGUGAUCCUUUCCUUCCGAGUACUUUCUGUUACCGUAAGCUGGGUUUUCUUUCUAUCUUCAGUUUUUUUCCCAAAACAAUCUGAGUGGGUUUACUGUAUGUAUAUUUUUAUAUGAUUGUCAGUUCUCACUCUGCAAACUGCGUAGAAUCUUAUAGACUAUUCAAGGACUUCUGCUGACCUUCUCUAGAUCUGUGAAUAUUCCUCUGAGCCAAACUUGCUAGGGUGGAAAUAGUAUCUUCUCAGGUGCUUAUAGAUGGAGAUGGGGGAUAUAUACUUCUGUCUAUUUCUAGAAAUCAAGAGAGAGAGAAUCUUGAUGAUGCAGCUUGGGCUAUAGAAUUAACAUAUUAUCGGGAAAGAAAGGCAAAGAAACAGUUACUGGUGGAUGACAAGUCAUCACAUGAGCAUUCUAAGAAUGGAUGGGAAAAUUUGAGAAAAAAACUGCGAAGAAAGGUGACCAAAAAGGAAGUACUUAGCUUUCACGUUCGGUUCUUUCAUCCGGUUUGAUUAUCUCAGCUAUAUAUCAAUAGCUUAUUGAAGUUUUUGCUUCUUUCCAUUCGAAUCACGACACGAUUCAAAAAACUAUACACAUCGACUUUUUAUAGACAUUCUGCCUAGUGGGUUUUUAUUUGGAAUUAAGCAGAAAAUUGAAAAUUAAUAGGAACGAGAGUUUGGACUUUGGAUCCGAAAAAUCAGAGUAGGAGCUUAUUUUCCCAGCCAGAAUUAUCUUUACCAGUUUACCUUCAGCAGCAUUAAUCACCCAUCACUCUUGUUUGUGGACCAAACUUAAAAGAUCAGACAUCUUGCAACUUGGAUCAUUCGGCUGGCAUGUAGUAACUCUAAAAGAGAGAUAUUGGUCAGUCCAUGAAUUAUAUUUACCACCUGAUCUUCAAAAAUAUUUUACCCAAAAAAAGUCCAAAAAAAAUGUCUUUAUUUUCUUACUUUUCUUCUCUUCUGCUUCAUUCAUGACAGCAGUUAUAAUUGUCACUUCAAAAUUCUGGAAAUCUGUGUGCCUCUAUCACUGUCUAAGCUGUCCUGGUUCACCUGCAAUAUUGGGGCUUCAGUAGAAGGGUAUAUGCCCAUGCUUUGCUUUAUUGGUUCUAAACAAGCUGGCUAGCUGUGAAAUAUUAGGACCACUGAUUUCUCCAAACUGUUAUUAAUUAAUGAGACCAAAACAGAUCAUACUAAAUAAUCCAUAAAUAUAAUAUAGAUCAUCAUCGACAUCAUAAAAUCUUGUUUGUUCUUCUGGUUUUGUCUUUUUUUUUUUUCAUCUGCAGAACUUGAAAUUUCCACGAUUAAUUGCCUUUUGGUAGUUAAAUGUAUAGUGCGAUAAAUAAUGACUCGCUAUAUAUAUAUAUAUAUAUAAGAAAAUUAUUUGGCCAAGUAGGAAAAAGUACUGUACCCUACGUUAAAUCUUCAGCAUGGUAGUCAUUUAUAUGGAUGGCAGCACUCUGUUUCAGACGCAUGCAAAACAUGUUUAGGGUUUAGAUUUAAAAAGAAAAAGAAAGAAAAAACUCUAUGAUUAUUAUUUUAAGACAGGAUAUUUAGUCAUAUUUGUUCUUAUUAUAACAGAGUACUGGAUCUACAUUAAUAUUGCUAAUCUUGCCAUGCGUGGAUAUAUAGUAUCAUGUACGUCUAGCAUUGCUGGCUACCUACACUAAUCUAUUUCUUAUAGAACAUAUAUAAUUCACUACAAGAAAUUUGAGUUUAGGGACCAAAUCUUCUAAGGAUAAAUUAAAUUUGGUCCCUAAAAGUAAUUAUUUGAGGCGAAAAAUUAUAUUUCGUCCAAAAAUAUCGAAUCAGUUUUUUACAAGUUCAAACAGACAAAUAUUUAUUCAAACUAGAGUUUCUAGGAUGGAAUAUAGCGUCUCAAUAAACAAAAUAGUUUGAACGUUCCCAAAACAUGUUCGAACAAUAUGAUAUUUCACAUUUGAAUGUUGACAUAACUAUUCGAAUGAUACUUGUGGCGAAUGAUAGUUGUGGCGGGGGAAAGUUAGAAACCGUUCGAAUGUGAGAUCCAAUCAUUUGAACAUUUUUUUUGGUGGGAAGUUAUGAAUAACUCUAGUGGGGAUGGUUGCUAUCCCGUUUGAACGGUGGCGUAUAUAAUCGAAAUAAAUUUAAUUAUAGAAAUUUAUUGAGAAGCAUUCAAAUAUUUGAAAAAUAAAUAUUAUAUGAGUUUAUUAAUUCUCAUUUUCAAAAGUUGAAAAAUCUUCAUAUACAGAUUAAUUAUUAUUUAUGGUACAUUGAAAUAUAUCAUAUAUGCCAUCCUAAAGAUUUUAUAUAAUUAAUUUAAAUAUUAAUUAACGGUUUUGUAACACCCAUUCUUGGGGUGGAAUUUUAGAAAAUGAUUUUAGACUACGAGACGAGAAUUACUGACUUUUUUAAAUUGAGUUCUUUAAAAAAAAAAAUAUUUCAUAAAUUACAUAAAAGGCCUAGGCUUUCGUCAUCUUUUUCUUGGGCCAUGUUUGUUUUAACGCUUCGUCUUCAUUUCAUUCUUGUGUGGGGCACACAUAAAAAUAAAAUAAGUCGAACACUCAGUAAGCAUCACCUCAUACCGUAAAAAUAUAAGAACAUAAGUUUCAUUCAUGCAUUCUUACUCAUAUACAUACUUUACAUAAGUUUCAAUUAUGCAUUCCCACCUUGUACUCUCUUUCAUAAAACUAAAACCUUUCAUUCAUACAAUUAAUUUGAUCACUUUUCCUCUAGCCGUUAUACACUAUUACACCCCGUGUGUUGGGGUUAACGGUCUUUUGAGUCCAAUUUCACCUGUGGCUGUAAAUUGGGAAUCCCUUAGUUAAGGGGUAGCCUUGGGUGCACUACCAAUAUUAUUUAUUGGACAUUGCAAUCUGUCCUGUCCUUUGGUACUAUCAUUCAUUUAUCAGUCAUGAUUGUUACGUAGUUUCAUUCAUUAAAACAUUCAUUUUUUUUUACUCAUUUCCUUUCCUUUCUUUUUAUUCAUUCCUUUCAUUCAUCAAUUCAUUUCAUUAAAACAUCUUUUCGUAACAUAGAACAUAAAUCCUCAUCAUUCAUUUCAUGGAACAUGCAUGCAAUACAUACUAUGUAUAACAUCUAUUCACAUGCAUACAACUAUUCUUUGAGUGCGUAAAAAGGGGCUGCCAAAUAAGGUCAGUACAUACAUAUACUUAAACCUUUAUACCUUAGCAUAGAUUUAAAAAGCAUUUUAUUAAACCAUUCAUUUUCAUUUUCAUAGCUUUAAAAACUCUAGAAAAGCAUGAAUAUAAUACUUCCUUGGACUCCAUGCUAUGCACAUUUCAUCUAAUCCAUUCAUUUGAGUGUCAGAUGGAAACCUAUAUGCAUACACAACCUCACUUAAUUUCCUUUUCAUUUACAAGAACACUAAAAGUAGAACUUGCAUAAUAAAACUAUCUCCCUAACUCUUAGUCCAUUCUCUCCCUUAUGGCUUUAACCUCUCAUUGGUUCCUUACUUGGACUUCUCACACUUAGAUUAGUCAUUGUCCAAAUAAUCUUCAUUAUCUAUUUACUUGCAUACUCUUCCAUAAAAUUUCUAAUUGUACAAACUUACACCUCUACCUAUUCAAAAUAUCCAUUUCCUUUCACUUACACGAGUCAUCAUCCAAUCCUUGAAGUAUAACCCUUGCCAUCAUCAAUCUUAAGCCUAAACUAUGAAUCUAGAAGCCCAACUUCAUUCUCUAACUAAUAAAGUGAGAUUUCAUGCUUCACUUUAAUCCAAACCAUCACUUUCCCUCACAAAACCUUCUUGGAAAUCCCUUUGGUCUUCCCUAUGCGCCACUUCCCUAUGCAUGGCUUUCUUGGAAAUUGAAAAUGUGUCCAUCUAGAAGAUGCUAGGCGUGUAGGAUAGCUUGGCCGAGUGCCUCUUGGUUUUUCCUAUGCAUCUCAGCAUUUCAUUUUUCUAGAAGCAUCUUUGCAUGAGUGACAAAUGGCAAUGCUACUAGGGUUAGGUGUGUAAGCCUUCCCUUGGGCUUUCCUAACACUCUUGUCUCCCCCUUGGCCCAUUAUCAACACUAGAUACCAUUAGGGAUUGAAUGUUAAGCUAAAGUUUAAGUCGUCUUGGGUUUUCCCUUAUGGUUGAAUUACACUAAGAGUUCUUAGGAAUAAAAUCCACAAUUAAGCUUAUAAAGCCUCUUCUUCCCUUAAAUCACCAGGGCCCUCUAUCACUAAGGCAAGAAAAUAUUUCAUGGCCCAUGCUUCACUAUGUUGGGUCAUCACAUCCUCCCCUCCUUGAAAAAAAGAUUUCUUCCUUGAAAUCAGUACUCCGACAGUAACCAUAACAAUUGUAGUUAGAUCUAGGGUUACUACCUCCCCUCGUUGCUGCCAUGGAUUCUUCUGAAGAUGAGGAUGAGGGUGGUGCUUGAUCCAAUUCUUUUGUUACUGAAUCUUGAGAAAAAUAGAACACCGCAUCUAGGUCGUAGUCAAAAUACAUGUUCACCCGCAUUUCAUUUAAUUUGUGCUCUAUCUCAAGCUCCUUGUCCUUGAUAGGUUGGCCUUCUUCACGGAAACGAAUGCGAUUUGUAGAUGUGUCUGAGGUCUCACAAGGCAUAAACUUAAUCAAGCAUUCUUCCACUGCAUGACUUGAUUCCACUUCUGGAUUAAAAUUUCGUAGAUUCUCCAUUUCUGCUUCUUUCCAGCUAGGUUGAGGUUUCUGGUCCUCACGGUAAUGCUCGUUGAUUAUAAAGGUUACCAUGGAAGUCUAUAUACAAAACGUGAGUACGAUGGUGCUCAAAUUUCUUUAUUUGUCUUAACUGAGCUGCCAUCAUUUGCUAAAAGACAAGAAGGAUUUUCGGUUUCCUCCUACCACACACCCACCCAUGAGUUUUCUUAGAUUUUUGCCAAGUGCCAACCAUGUAAAGAGUUUCUAGAGGAAAAGAUGAAAGGACAUUAGCACAAAAGACCAUCUUAACCCUAAAGUUUCAGCCACCACACUCAAGGCACACACUCACACGCCACUUGUUAACUAGGGUUACAACAAAAGGCUUUGGAAAGUGGAAGGUCAACUCGAGAAUGUGCAUGGAAUGAGAAAGACCUCCAUAGGGAAGGGAGAGAGAGAGGGGCGGCAUCUAGAAACCUCCACAUGCCUAAGCCAUGUGGCAUCUAUGCAACAUGUUAUUUUGAGAAAAGGAAGAGAUUAGUGAGUAAUUUUACCUAGUAGCCCUAAUGUACACGAUUGCACUUAGAAACUUUUGAGAGGGGCAUUUGAGGCAUUUGGCCAAGAGGGGAGGAACCCCACACGCCACCUCAAGCUUUGAUCUUUUCCAAGGCAAUCUCAUGAUAAAACUCAAGGGACAUGGAAGGCAAGGGGGAAGGAAGAAGGACAAUGCCAUUUGUCCUUUAUACAAUGGGUUUCAAGUGACCAAUAAGAUUUUGUGGAAAAGUUCUAUAUAAAGGGGAGAGAGAUACACGCUCAAGGGUUUCUUUUGCCAUUUUUGGACCUCUCAUGUUCUCACCUUCUUGAUUCUCUCUCACACAAGCAUUCAAAGGAUUUCUCACUUUCUCACACUUUCCUUCCAACCAAACAAAGGAAAACUACCUUCAAGAAGAGAUUUCGGCUUAGCAAAGAAGAAGCAUGGUGAGAUUUACUUUCUUGAUUCAUGCACACACCCACACAUGACAUAUUAUCAACUCGUGGAGAUGAGAAUCUCUAAAUAGUUUCAGUUUUGACCAAACACUCACAGUCUCACACUGUUCUUAAUGAACCAACUAGGGUUUCCUAGGGUUUGGGAUAAGCCAAAUAAUGAGGAGUUCAAAUCCUUCAUGUAUUUAGCCAAAUACUUGCCUUUUUACCUUAUUUUGAGUUAUGGAGAAGAACACAAGAAAAUGAGAGACUUCUUAACUCAAAACCCUAGAAACCAAUUGACCUAUUGGUGUUUAAACUCGAGUAGUAGCCUUAGCAAUCACACACACACUUUUACCUCAUGGAUUGGGGUUUUUAGAGCCCUCAUUCUAACUAUUUACACUUCAAUUUACAGCUUGCUAUUUGUUAAUCUCCAUGGAUUUUUAUAAGUACACACUCAACUUACUUCUUAUUAAUGCAUGUACACUUUUGUGCAAAUCCUUAGUUUGUUUCUAUUACUUUGAUUGCUAUUCUUAUUUUCUUGAUUGAAUACUCUUACAUGAACUUGGAAUAUGAUUAUGGAAUGGCUAAUGUGGUUUAUGAUGAAAAAUGGUGAUAAGAUUCUGAUGUGCUUAAUUUCUAUAUAAGUUUUGUCAUACUUUUAUUCUUAAUUUUAUACUAGUUUGUGUUUAAUUUUCUUAUUUCUUAGAGUUUUUAUUUAUUUUGUUUAGGAAUAAAUAAACUGAAGGAGUCAUCAAAAGAAUAAGAAACAUUCAGUUCUCGAAAUUCCUUAAGUACCCUUUGGUAAUUGAAAGAUAAUUUUUUCUAAAAAACUCCAAUAAGGGUAAUUUCAGUGUCUACAGAAAGCCAAGAGAAACUCCUAGAACUUUUAUUUUAAAUCCUUGGCCAAAAAUGAAUAUCUAGAAGGCGGAAAGGGUGCAUCAAUUCAAAAGUUGCAAAACUGCCAAAUUCCUGAAAUACCUUUCAGUAUUUAGGGCAUAACGUCUUGUAGAAAACUCCAAUAAGGGUAAUCUCGGUGUCUACGUAAAACUGAGAUAAAAACCUACAACUUUAGUGUUUAAGGGAGGGCCGAAAACGAAUAUCUUUAGGGACAAAACAGCGCUUCAAGCAGAAGAUAAAAAAUUUGCAGAAUUGGAGUUCAUCAAUGAUAGAGAUUCUUGAUCUACAUAGAGUUUCCUUCUUAACUCUUUAAUAUUCUCUUUGUAUAAUUCUCAUUAUGAAUUCCAUAAUUAUUAUGAUUUGUUUUGAUUAGAUUAUGAACUAAUUUCUAUUGCUAUGGCUAUAUUGUAGCUUUUUCAUGACAAUUCCGAACCUUAUUUCGUUGUGAUCAUAAUUUUAUCAUUCAUUUUGAGUAUACAUCAUUGAGUUUAAUGCCUUGAAUUAUUUAGCCAAUAGUUGAAUGAUUUGUUGUUCAUGUUAAUUUGAGAGAUGAUGCAUGUAGUUUAGUUUCAUAUGAUGUAUGUCAUGAAUUAAACGAAAGACAAGAAUGUGCCAACCUGAUUUGUGCGGCUUUUACGUGAAAUAUUAUUAAUCUUAAUGUGGUCAAAUGCUUUUAAAUUUGUAUGGACAUAUCGCGGGUUAUCGUAGGUUGAGUAAUUCUAAUUCUACUCGAGAGAGGGUCUUAGAUAAGUUAGAAUAUUUCACUGUCAAAUAUGAUGAUGAUAGUUGAUUGAUUGUAUGGUUAAGAUUUGAGAUUGGAUUGGUUAAGUGAGUCGGAUGCCUUAGUGUUUUAUUCUUGGGUGAAAUCUUCUUCUUUUCAAGUGUUUGGUCAAUUCUUUAUUUGUUGAUUUAAUUUAAUUUGUUGCUGUUUUUCUAAUUCAAAAUCCACCACAUUUCUUGAUUUUCAAAUAAUUUAGAAUUAAAACAAUUUCAAUAGUUAAUAGGUAAAUAGUUCUCGUGGGUUCAACAUCUUUCUUAUCAUUAUGUUAUUUGGUACGAUUUCGUACACUUGCAAAAUUUCACAAGUUUUUGCACCGUUGCCGAGGACUAUUUAUUUUCUAUUACUUUUGAUACCAACUAGUUCUAAGUUAAUGUGAAUUUUUUUUCUUUUUAAGUCUUGAUUGUUAAUUUGUUUUUAUUUUUCUUUUCAGCAUUCCCAAGUUAUGCAUGAGACGUACUCGAAGCUUGGAGUCAGUACCUUUUGACCUUAAAAUUGAACGCACCCUUCAUCGUUUGAACAAGGAGAAUGAGGAUUCCACAACUGAGAAUGAAACAAUGAAAGAUCAAGUUGGAAAUAGGACUUUGGGAGAUUAUGCUGUCCCUUUGGUCACCAGAGCUACUUCUAGCAUUAGACGACCUGCCAUUCAAGCCAAUAACUUUGAAAUAAAGCCAGCAAUUUUUCAAAUGAUGGAUUCAACGGUACAAUUUAGUGGCAUGCCACAUGAUGAUCCAAAUGCUCACAUAGCUAAUUUUUUGGAGUUAUGUGAUACUUUUAAACAUAACAUGAUUUCUGAUGAUACUAUUAGAUUGAGACUCUUUCCAUUUUCCCUCCGAGACAAGGCAAAAGCAUGGUUAAAAUUACUUCCAUCGUUAACCGUAACUACAUGGGAUGAUUUAGCUAAAAAGUUUCUAGCAAAGUUCUUUCCCCUAGCCAAAACUGUAAAGAUUCGAAAUGAUAUCACCACUUUUGUCCAAUUUGAUAUGGAGUUGCUUUAUGAAACUUGGGAUAGGUAUAAAGAAUUGCUUAGAAAGUGUCCACAUCAUGGACUUCCUGUUUGGAUUCAAGUGCAAAUUUUCUACAAUAGUUUACAACCUACAACACGUACAAUGAUUGAUGCAGCAGCGUGAGGGACUUUGAUGAAGAAAUCACCGGAAGACGCAUAUGAGUUGGUGGAGGAGAUGGUAACCAACAAUUAUCAAUGGCUAGUGGAUCGAGUGACAACAAAAAGAACUCAGAGAGUUCAUGAAAUUGAUCCUUUAUCUGCUUUAGCUGCUCAAGUUGUAGCUUUAUCUAAGAAAUUAGACAAUGUCCAUGUGAGUUCCAUUCAAUUUACUAAUGUAAUUUGUGAAUUUUAUGCAGGAAAUCAUAUGGGGGUAGAUUAUCAAGUGGGAAAUCUAUUCGCCAACAAUAGUUUGGAGUAAGCAAAAUUUGUGUCGAAUUACCAACGACAAAGCAAUCCUUAUUCCAACACUUACAAUUCAGGAUGGCGAAACUACCCAAAUUUACUAUGGAGCAACUCUCAGAAUGUUGUCAAGCCUCCACCAGGUUUUCAAAAUCAACAACAAGAGAAGAAGAUGAAUUUGCAUAAGAUGACUUGAAACAAAUGCCUAGUCAUGUGAAGUUCAUGAAGGAGAUUCUAUCAAAUAAGAGGAAAGUAGGAGAGUAUAAGACUGUGAUGUUGACUGAAGAGUGCACCGCCAUUUUCCAAAAUAAGUUGCCACCAAAGCUUAAAGAUCCAGGGAGUUUUACUAUUCCUUGCACCAUUAGAUACUCUUAUUUCGAAAAAAAACUUUGUGUGAUUUAGGUGCUAGCAUAAAUUUGAUGUCCUUUUCUAUUUUUAGGCAAUUGGGGAUAGGAGAGGUCAAGGCCACUACCGUUUCACUUCAAUUGGUGGACCAAUCCAUUAAAUGACCAAGAGGCAUAGUAGAGGAUGUUCUUGUUAAAGUUGACAAGUUUAUUUUCCCUGCAGAUUUUAUUAUUUUAGAUAUGGAGGAAAAUAGAGAAACCCCACUUAUUCUUGGUUGACCGUUCCUAACCACGUGAAGAGCUAUCAUAGAUGUGCAACAAUGAAAGCUAAUACUACGGGUGCAAGAUGAAAAAGUUACAUUCAAUGUGUUUGAGGCAAUGAAAUAUCUGUGAACAACCAAUACAUGCCUCAACAUAGAUAUGAUUAAGGAACUUAUGGUAGAAAUUUUUGAAGAGAGUUAUCCUAAGGAACAGCUUGAGGCAUGUCUUAUUUAAUCUGGCACUUCUGAUUCUAAGAAUUCCAAUAUAAGCAAUUGUCUACACUAUUUGAAAGCAUCUCCACCUUACUUACCUAAAGGGAAGUAAGAAAACAUAACAUUGGACGAAAACACUACUCCACAAAAGCCAUCCAUUAUUAAGGCCCAUUCUUUAGAACUCAAACCUCUUCCUUCUCAUCUUAAAUAUGCUUAUUUACAUGAUUCUUCUUUACCCGUAAUAAUUUCUUCAUCUUUGAUAGGUCUUGAAGAAGAGAAAUUAUUUCGAGUUUUGAGAGCUCACAGGCAAGCUUUGGGAUGGACUAUAGCCGACAUUAAGGGAAUGAGCCCUUCACUUUGCUUGCACAAGAUUUUAAUGGAAGACAAUUAUAAGCCUACAGUGUAGCCACAAAGGAGACUUAAUCCGAACUUGCAAGAAGUUGUGAAAAAGGAAGUUCUCAAAUUGUUGGAGGCCAGAAUUAUUUACCCUAUUUAUGAUAGCUCAUGGGUAAGUCCGGUGCAAGUAGUGCCCAAGAAGGGAGGAGUGACAAUGGUAGAGAAUGAAAAUAAUGAACUCAUCCUAACAAGAACAGUCACGGGUUGGAGAGUGUGCAUAGACUACUACAAGCUCAAUAAUGCCACACGAAUAGAUCACUUUCCACUUCAUUUCAUUGAUAAAAUGUUGGAACGGCUCGCAGGUCAUGCUUAUUAUUGUUUCCUAGAUGGAUACUCGGGAUACAAUCAAAUCCACAUUUCACCAGAAGAUCAAGAAAAGACCACUUUCACUUGCUCGUAUGGAACAUUUGCCUAUCGGAGGAUGCCCUUUGGUUUGUGCAAUGCUCCAGCCACAUUUCAACGAUGCAUGAUGGCCAUUUUUCCGGAGAUGGUGGAAAAGUUUCUUGAAAUUUUUAUGGAUGAUUUUUUCUGUCUUUGGUUCUUCAUUUGAUAAUUGUUUAAAUAAUAUAUCUUUAGUUCUACAAAGAUGUAAAGAAACUAACCUUAUUCUUAAUUAGAAAAAAUGUCAUUUAUGGUGCAGGAAGGAAUUGUACUUGGGCAUAAAGUUUCUUCCAAGGGCAUUGAGGUAGAUUGAGUCAAAGUAGAGGUGAUCAACAAAUUACCUCCACCUAGCACGGUCAAGAGUAUGAGAAGUUUCUUGGGACAUGCGGGGUUUUAUCUUCGUUUUAUUUAAGAUUUUUCUAAGAUUAUUAAACCCCUUUGUUCUCUUUUGGUCAUAGAUACUCCAUUUAACUUUUCCAAUAAUUUUUUGCAGGCAUUUGCACAUUUGAAUAAGAAGUUAAGUUCAGCCCCAAUUAGAAGUGCACCGGAUUGGGUACUUCCAUUUGAAUUGAUGUGUGAUGCAAGUGAUUAUACAAAGGAGUUGUGCUUGGAUAAAGGAAGAACAAGGUUCUCCAUGUUAUCUACUAUGCAAGUCGUACCUUGACUGAUGCCCAAUUAAAUUAUGCUACUACAGAAAAUGAAUUGUUUGCCGUGGUCUUUGCUUUUGAUAAAUUUAGAUCAAAUUUAAUUGGGUCAAAAGUAAUUGUUUACACUCAUCAUUUUGCUCUUAAAUACUUGUUAGCUAAAAAGGAAGUUAAACCAAGGUUACUUAGGUGGAUUUUACUACUACAAUAAUUUGAUUUGGAGAUCAAAGAUAAAAAGGGAAUCGAAAAUCAAGUAGUCGAUCA
Carya illinoinensis is the source of this 12211-nucleotide long non-coding RNA. RefSeq lists it as uncharacterized. Lineage: Eukaryota; Viridiplantae; Streptophyta; Magnoliopsida; Fagales; Juglandaceae. The record is from RefSeq and is a predicted model, not a curated record. The transcript is spliced from 3 exons.